Molecule: ribosomal RNA, 253 nt
Filed under: uncultured bacterium
Lineage: Bacteria
Description: partial 16S ribosomal RNA
Rfam family: Bacterial small subunit ribosomal RNA
Source: RNAcentral
UACAGAGGGUGCAAGCGUUGUUCGGAAUUAUUGGGCGUAAAGCGCGUGUAGGCGGCUUUGCAAGUCGGGUGUGAAAGCCCUCAGCUCAACUGAGGAAGUGCGCCCGAAACUGCAUGGCUUGAGUACCGGAGAGGAUGGUGGAAUUCCCCAAGUAGAGGUGAAAUUCGUAGAUAUGGGGAGGAACACCGGUGGCGAAGGCGACCAUCUGGACGGAUACUGACGCUGAGACGCGAAAGCGUGGGGAGCGAACAGG